UUGGCCACUGGUACAUAUCGCCUUAUCCACCGCCUAUCAGCUCUUCACGCAAAUUGUGAUAUCUCAUUGGAAAACUUACCAGGUUUGUCAACCUAUAUAAUUAAAUUCGUCAGAAAAUUUUUCAGAUCCCAAUCCUCUACUCAUCCUGUGCAACUACCGUCUCUGUUGGCAUUCAUUUAGUUCUGCACUCCAUGUCGGUUUUUUGGAAAGUAUAAUUUUUUAUAAAAUUUAUUCAAAUGUUAUGUUGUUAUGACAUUGGCAAUAUUUGAUUUCAAUACUAAAAAAUCUUUGAACAUUAUUAUUUUUCUCAUCAAUUGAAAUUAUUUUAUUAAUGGUGACUUCCAAAAAAGUGCAAAAGUAUGAAGAAUCAUAUGAGUUGCAACUGAUAUAGAGGCCGCAAUUGAGGACGCCAGAUUUGGUACCUGAAACGUAGAAUUGAAAUUGGGAAUUGAGUAUUGAAUCUGCUAAAUUCUGAGAAAGAACUUUCAUACUUUUAUUGACAAUUGAGAUGCCAAAAGUUGAACAACAAACUGAUAGAUUGUUGCACACGCGAUGUUGAACAGGGGGAGUCUGAAAAUACCUUUAAAACUUGAUUGAGAUUGAUUUUAGCCGAAAGCUUUUUCUCUGGUUUAGGUUCAGGCCUAGGCUUACGCUUUGGCUUAGGCUUAGGCUUAUCCCUAGGGGUACAUUCUAGCUUGGCCUUUUUCCACUUACAAAAUGAAAAACUCCGUCUCUGCCUUUUCGUUUUUAUAUUUUCCGUGCAACAUCCAGACGAAGCCGCCGAACGCGAGAAGUAAUAAACACAAGACGAAAACCAUCAGAAUAAUAGCUGAAAUUAGGUUUGAUUUUCUAAAUUUUGAGUCAAAAUAUUCUGAAACUCACCUCCAACUACAGUAAUUUUUGGAUCGAUUGCAUUGUACCAUUCAAGAAACAAGGUAUAGGUCAUAAUGACAUGAAUUAAAAACGAGAUACCGUGUCCAAUGAGGAGUUUCUUUUUUUGCUGCAAUAUUUUUCAAAAUCCAAUAAAAAUUAUAACUUUGACCCACUCUUUCACAUCGGGAGGAAGGUUAUACUGCAUUUUUGCGUGCUCUUUUUCCCCGUUCGAGGCCUGAACUGUCUCUGAGGCACAAUGGCCGUUCAACGUAUGACGUCCGAGUGAGAAACUUUGCAAGGCUGCGCCAAAGUCCUUGAUUAAUUUUGGGUCCCGAAUGUAUUGCAAAACAGAGGCAAUGUUCUGCGGGAUAUGUUCACUGAAAAUAACUUUUUUUAAAAAUCAUCUUAAACGCCUUUUUGUGUUUUUUUUUCAAACACGUAUGGAUUUCUUUGACUUUUUUGGUAUGAAAAUUGUUGUUUUGGGGACAGAGCGUCGGCGUGAGUCUCGCACUUAAAAUCUUUUUUUUAAUUGACUCACUCUUUGUGAUCUGUUGGUGUCUGUUUUGGGUCGGUUGCACUGAAAAUAGUUACAUUAAUUAUUCGAUUUGUUCAACUUUUCGAAUUUUCGAAUAAACCGUCAAAUAUGAUUUUUAAAAAAGAACUCACUAUCAGCAUUAUUUUGUACUUCAUGAGUAGUAUGUAUUUGUCCGCUCCGGUGCAGCUUUCAACCCACUUUUUGGGUCUCAUGUGUCGGAGUACAGCUGAUUCCUUCACAUUAUCUUCACAUUUUUCUGACAUGGACAAUAUUUUCAUCCAGUUAGAUAACAUUUUCCAGGCAAGAACAUUUCCAUAUUUCUUGAAAAUAAUCAGUAUUGUUCCAAUUCGACUCCGAAAAUGAUUCAGAAUUUCAUCGUUGGAACAUAUUUGGUGACUUUUGUUUAGAAUGUUCUCAAUAUUCUUGAUUGUUUUCGAGAUUAUUUGAUAAUCCGGAAAACUCGUUUGAUCGGUUCGAAUGUCCAAGUCGAAGACUUCGAACUCGUAUUUUUCAAUUUUUUCAGUGCAAUUCUGACUUCUUUGUGCAAGUUGAUCUACUAUCGUGUUUUCCAUCUUGACUUUUGAAAAAAAAAAUUAAAUUGACAAGCUGCAGACUUUUCAAUUAAUGACAGAAGAUGUGUUUUGCAAAGGUGUUUGAAGAAAUUUGCUGAAUUGUCCGAUUUGAUGCUGAUGAGAAUCAGACUUUUUGACGUAGCUCUCUCUUUUCUGAUGGUUUGAAAAAAAAACUAACGAAACAAAGAUUCCAAUUGGUUGUUGGUGUUGUAGCGGUAGAUGUAGUGGAAUGAUGAUAAAAUUAGCUCUUUGAUUCAGUACUUGUUGAGGUUAGAAUAGGGUGAGUUCCCAUGUCCCUUUCUUUUUCCCUCGGUUAGUUGUCUUCGUUGUCUCUUUUUCCGUCUUGUCCUCGGGGUCAUUAUUCAUUUUGCCAAUGGAGGUAUCUCUUUUUUUCGUGCACUCUCUCAUUGAGAGUAGUACUCCACAAUAAACAAUCGGAGCGAAAGUGUAGAUAACAGCAACGUCUCGGACCAAUUGUGUAAACCAGAUUGGUUUUUGCAAUUUUGCAACUCGAUUGUAUAAACGUGACGGAACAACUUUUCUUUCAUCGAUGAGUUUAAUCAUCUUUACACUGAUGAAGACCUUGCGAGAUAAGAAUAAAUUUUUGUGGAGUAUCAACUCUCGUUUUUUCCUUAUCUCAUUUCUUCGGGAAUUCCAGAAACAAAUCAUUUUGUUGUUCCUUUUCGCUGUCUCUGCUAUUAAGAAACUGACUAUGUCUCAAAUAGGGGAAACUUCGAAGCAGCUUUUCCAUUUGGCGUUUCAAAAAAAAUUUGUGGAAUCUUUUCUGAAUGGGAAAACACGGAAAUAAUUCAAUGCGCGGCUUACAUACUUGACGACUUAAAAAAAAACCUGGAGACAAAUGUGUUGUGUCAAGUCUUGCCAUUCGUCGGACUAAGAUGCAGUGAAUCUUUUGAGUCUACGACGGGAAUUUUACUGAUCAAACUGGAAUCAAUGAAGAUGAAUUGUGGAGGUAGAAGAGUGAAUUGUAUUCCCACUGUUAAUUAGAGCAUUUUUUCCAAUUACUCCCUAUAUUAAUUAACGGGUAAACAAGGAACGAAUGUGAUGCAUAUUAUCACGUCUGACAAUAAGCAUGCUAUUUGAGAUUCACUGGACUAGAAACUCAAAAGUUGUUGUGAGGUUUGAAUCAACAAUUCUCAAAAAGAGUCUACUCUGACUAGCUCUUUUCUUGAAAUGGACCAAAUUCAAACUCUCGUUCCAUAGUUUUGAAAACAAUACACAACUGAAUCAGCUUUUGUUUUUUUCUGGAGAGCGUAGAUUUUUCAUGGGCUUUUGAAAAAAAAAAUUAUUUUAUCGUCCUUUGGAUGAGUUUCUUUGAAGAGAGAGAGUGUGUGUGUUUUUUUUGUAUUUUUUCUUGGGUUUUUAGAGAUUAAAGGAAAUAGAGAGAAAUUAAUUUUACUUGAUUUUUAGAAAAAUUUAGUGAAAUUGAAAAGAAAAAAAUGGUAAGACUCAAAAGACUAGAACAUCGAACCAAACUCUGUCUGCCUUGAUGGAAUAGAGCACAGACACCACUAAACUAGUUUAGAAUGGAAGGAUCUCACCGAAAACUUUUCAGAUGAAAUAAAAGUUUUUAGGUGGAAUUUUUUUCUUUUGACUUUGAAGAGAGAAAAUCAUAUGAAGAUGAAAUCUCAGUCAAAAGCUCGGUGGUACCUACAUGUUACCGUACGCGAUCGUGCCAGAUCUCGUAGAUAAAAUAAUAGAAAACAUAUGAAUAUAUCGAUAUGUUUAUUGAGAUGAGGGGGAGAAGGACGGGUGUCCGUCUCCCAGCCUCCCGAUAGAAUGAUGUUAAUUCUCAUGGAAUAGAAUGUCUCUAUUCUCUCGUGCUCUCUCACCCCACCAACUGUCGUUGACAGAUGGCAAUGAUCAAGGGCACUCGAUAAAUAGAAACCGAGAAGCAGUAUAGAACUGACCUCUCACACUACUAUGCGGCUGCCCCGCUCCCGACCUUUAUGAUAACCCCACUUCCUAUAUUAUUCUUUUUAUGUAUUGCAUAUAUUCUAUUAUAUAUAUAUAAACAUCCUAUAACCCCAAGGAAUUCCAGGUCGGUAUAUUUAACCUCAACGAGGUACUUUAGGCUAGGAAUAAGAACCACUCUCAACCCUAGCGAGAGUUAGAUAAAGGUUGAUUAUAAUAUUAGGUGCCGAGAGCACGCCUAUAACAUGAAGGUACCACCGAGCCAGGAAAUAAUUUUUUGGGGUGCCCCUGUAUGUAAGAUCGCAGGUUCCAAAAUUGUUUCUGCGAACUCAGAGGAGUCAGGAGUUCACCUAACUAUUCCCUAGUAAGUGUGCCAUAACCGCUACACCAAGGCCACACCAAUAUCUAUUUGGAUUCCCCCAUUCCUAUCACCAUCAAACCCCUUCCCAUCUAUUAUUCUAUUCUCGUCUGGUUGGAAGAGCAUGGAGACAGUUUCCAGUACACAUCACGCCUCUGCAAAACGGACAAAGCAGAUUCUCUUCAAACGGUCAAGGAAUUCCCGACGUUGGACCAACUCCCCCUGAUGCGGCUUGAGUUUUUUUUCUUUUGAUUAUUAGUUGUUCUUUAUUGAUUCAAUCUCUAUUCUAGCCUGAGGGCAUCAUGAGCCAAGUUUGAGCCAUUUUAUUGUGUUGAGUAAGCAAAGUUCCCCGCACAUUUUUUUUUGAGUAUUGAGAAUACACUAGUUUGAAGAGUUCCCCAUUUUCUUUGUAUUGUAUGUAGAUAAGUUACUGUUGAGUAAAAUGACCUCUAAUUAUAUUGUUAAGUCCGUUUUCUUAGAAUUUCACAUUUUGAAAUAAGUAUUUGUGUCUGCCUGAGGCAAUAGAAAUUAAAGAGACUCUGUUGUAUUGCAUUUUAAUGAGAUGAGAGUAGGAUUUUAUUUGGUAUAGUUUUUUCAUAUGUUGUUUAUCCUUCUUGAAAGGGCUUUAAACUCUUGCACUAAAACACUAGCGCUUUGAGGACAAAGCACUUUUGAGAGGGUAGGAUGGCGUGCCGUUACCGUCAUCUGUUAUUUUUCUUUUUGGGAAUCUGAGUUCUGUAAGCCUAACAUCAAAAGCUUCGGGACGAAGCUGCUCAAAAAGGGCGGCAUGUGAGAGGUCAGUUCUAUACUGCUUCUCGGUUUCUAUUUAUCGAGUGCCCUUGAUCAUUGCCAUCUGUCAACGACAGUUGGUGGGGUGAGAGAGCACGAGAGAAUAGAGACAUUCUAUUCCAUGAGAAUUAACAUCAUUCUAUCGGGAGGCUGGGAGACGGACACCCGUCCUUCUCCCCCUCAUCUCAAUAAACAUAUCGAUAUAUUCAUAUGUUUUCUAUUAUUUUAUCUACGAGAUCUGGCACGAUCGCGUACGGUAACAGUAGGGCGACUCCCACCAGACUAACUUGUGUGCGCCUGCACUUAGGGGCGGGCCGCCAUGGAAGUAAAUGAAGAAGGAAGAUAGGCAUGCCUGAUAGGAGGCUUGCCAUCGUAUCCUUCCACAGUUUAUUUAUUUACUCUUCCUUUGAUAAAAUGUCUGAAACGUAAGUUGAACUCAUUGUUUUCCCAAAAAAUUCGAAAUUUGAGAAAAAAAUGCUUGAAAAUCCAGAUUCUGUGGAAAAAUUUCCAGUAUUGGAUCCUCUGUAAGUGAUUUUGUAAUUUCAGAAAAAAAAAUUUAUUAAACAUUUUUUGAGAAAACGUUUUUCAGAAGUUUUUUUCAGAAAAAAGAAUGUACUCCUGUCCCUGCACUCUCUUUCAUCUUUAAUCCACGUGGCAAUGUUCUAUUUCCUAUUGGUCCAAUGGAGUAAAGCCGAUAAUCCAGUUCUCACACAUUUUCAGAGUAGGAAUCCAAAAAUUGAAGUUGUUAAGGUUUUUGAAAAUUAAUUUUCAGUUUUCUGCCUGGUGAUUAUUGGAAUCGGAUUUUUGAUUAUCUUGAUCUUAAUAUUCAGUAUUUUUAAAUCCGAAAUGAAAAGUGACUCACAUGCAAGACGAUUCUUUCAUAUG
RNAcentral lists this small RNA (5944 nucleotides) under Caenorhabditis elegans. RNAcentral's name for it is "Unclassified non-coding RNA K01A2.16". Lineage: Eukaryota; Metazoa; Nematoda; Chromadorea; Rhabditida; Rhabditidae. The record is from RNAcentral.